CCUGUAUGAAGCCGGAAUUGCUAGUAAUGGCAGGUCAGCAUACUGCCGUGAAUACGUUCCCGGGCCUUGUACACACCGCCCGUCACACCAUGAGAGUUGGGGAUACCCAAAGCCCGUGAGCCAACUUAUAAGAGGCAGCGGUCUAAGGUAGAAUCAAUGAUUGGGGUGAAGUCGUAACAAGGUACC
RNAcentral lists this ribosomal RNA (186 nucleotides) under uncultured bacterium. RNAcentral describes it as "partial 16S ribosomal RNA". It matches the Rfam family "Bacterial small subunit ribosomal RNA", at positions 1315 to 1500 of the family's 1533-position model. The record is from RNAcentral.